GACGAACGCUGGCGGCGUGCCUAAUACAUGCAAGUUGAGCGAUGAAGAUUGGUGCUUGCACCAAUUUGAAGAGCAGCGAACGGGUGAGUAACGCGUGGGGAAUCUGCCUUUGAGCGGGGGACAACAUUUGGAAACGAAUGCUAAUACCGCAUAACAACUUUAAACAUAAGUUUUAAGUUUGAAGGAUGCAAUUGCAUCACUCAAAGAUGAUCCCGCGUUGUAUUAGCUAGUUGGUGAGGUAAAGGCUCACCAAGGCGAUGAUACAUAGCCGACCUGAGAGGGUGAUCGGCCACAUUGGGACUGAGACACGGCCCAAACUCCUACGGGAGGCAGCAGUAGGGAAUCUUCGGCAAUAGACGAAAGUCUGACCGAGCAACGCCGCGUGAGUGAAGAAGGUUUUCGGAUCGUAAAACUCUGUUGGUAGAGAAGAACGUUGGUGAGAGUGGAAAGCUCAUCAAGUGACGGUAACUACCCAGAAAGGGACGGCUAACUACGUG
Molecule: ribosomal RNA, 497 nt
Filed under: uncultured bacterium
Lineage: Bacteria
Description: partial 16S ribosomal RNA
Rfam family: Bacterial small subunit ribosomal RNA
Source: RNAcentral